UGGUUGGAAUCAGAAGAUACUCGACCGAAGUGUUUGAAGGCCAUUGGAUCUUCGCUGUGCUCGGCUUCGUUUUUGUUGCCUUUUCAAUCAUUUUCGGGAUUGUACCUGCAAAGGGGUUCAAAGGGCUUCUCAUAAGAUUGAAUAUAAACUAAAAUAUUGCUCGUGCUCGUCUAUUCUGGGGUAUAUUCGGAAGUUUUGAGGUGAAAGAAUUAGAAAUGGUGGCGCUAAACCCCAGUUGUUUUUAGCUUGUCUAGUUGGACCUUUUUGUGUUUGGAUUAGGUUUUUUUCAGCCCGUUUUAACGGACGUGGUUUAGGCAAAAACGUGGCAGUAUAAUGGAUGCCAUUUGGACUCUUGCUGCAAAUGUUCUUGCAGCUUGUGUAAUGGCUGCACUCGCCACAUUCAAGAAAGCGGUAAUAACUACGGAAAAUAUUAUUAAUCCCUCCAAAAUAACAUGGUUUUAUUUUAUACUACAUAAAUCACACCGAGUCCCCUUUCCAUUUUGUCUUUGCAGGUUAGAACGACGAAUUUGGGCUACUCGGGUGUUUAAGUACCGUCUCUACUUUCGUCGCUGAGUUACAUGCAAAAUACGAGAGCAAGCAUCCAUGGAGGGAUUGUGCUUAUGCAGCAACCACGUUUUCUAUCUCGUUUAUUUUGGGAACGCUUAUAGUGCCCGUUUGGGUAAAGGGACUAUGACUAGAAAUUGACGACGUGGGAUUCGGUAAUUUGCUUCUCUUCUGAGUUGCGCUGAAAUGAUAUACGAUUCGAAAAAUAGAAUCUUGACAAAGUCCCAAGAUUUUUCCGGACGUUGAUAAAUACAUCUUGUUGGAAAAAACGACAUUGCCGUUGGGAUCAUUAAAAGAGGAAUAAACACAAUCUCAAGCUCCGGUUGUGGCUCCAAAAAAGAACUGGCAAAACAUCCUCGUACAGUACACAUCCUCGUACAUUUUUAUCAUAAAUUCUAUGUACUUGGUUAGAGUUGAUGAUGUUGUAUUGUUUUUGUGCUAAAACAUCAAUUGAAAUUGAUGAAAAAAUUGUUAUAUAAAGUGUUUUUUUUUUU
Erythranthe guttata (spotted monkey flower) is the source of this 1058-nucleotide non-coding RNA. Lineage: Eukaryota; Viridiplantae; Streptophyta; Magnoliopsida; Lamiales; Phrymaceae. The record is from RefSeq and is a predicted model, not a curated record.